AUUCGACAAUUCAUUAAAAAAAAUUUCAUAAAUUAAAAUAUUUUUUCUAUAACAAGGAGGGACAUAUCAAGAAGGAUUGUGAGAAAAGAAGAAAAUGGUUUGAAAAGAAGAGUAUUCCCUUAUCACUUGUUUGUUUCGAAAUUAAUUUUAUUGAUGUUCUUUUUAAUACCUAAUAGAUUGAUUCGAAUGCUGCAAUUUAUAUUUUUAAUUCAUUACAGAGAUUUCUUUCA
Molecule: long non-coding RNA, 230 nt
Filed under: Elaeis guineensis (African oil palm)
Lineage: Eukaryota; Viridiplantae; Streptophyta; Magnoliopsida; Arecales; Arecaceae
Description: long non-coding RNA (EGUI_LNC007780)
Source: RNAcentral